GAUGAACGCUAGCGAUAGGCUUAACACAUGCAAGUCGAGGGGCAGCACAAGGUAGCUUGCUAUCUGGGUGGCGACCGGCGCACGGGUGCGUAACGCGUAUGCAACUUGCCCUAUACAGGAGGAUAACCCGUCGAAAGACGGACUAAUACUGCGUAUGCACACAACUUGGCAUCAAGUGGUGAGGAAAGAAAUUCGGUAUAGGAUAGGCAUGCGUCCCAUUAGCUUGUUGGUGAGGUAACGGCUCACCAAGGCAACGAUGGGUAGGGGAACUGAGAGGUUUAUCCCCAACACUGGUACUGAGACACGGACCAGACUCCUACGGGAGGCAGCAGUGAGGAAUAUUGGUCAAUGGGCGCGAGCCUGAACCAGCCAAGUCGCGUGAAGGAUGACUGUCUUAUGGAUUGUAAACUUCUUUUAUACGGGAAUAACAAGAGUCACGGGUGACUCCCUGCAUGUACCGUAUGAAUAAGCAUCGGCUAACUCCGUG
RNAcentral lists this ribosomal RNA (487 nucleotides) under uncultured bacterium. RNAcentral's name for it is "partial 16S ribosomal RNA". It matches the Rfam family "Bacterial small subunit ribosomal RNA", at positions 28 to 507 of the family's 1533-position model. The record is from RNAcentral.